UACAAUGGCGUAACAAAGGGAAGCGAACCUGUGAGGGGGAGGCAAAUCCCAAAAAUAAACGUCCCAGUUCGGACUGUAGUCUGCAACCCGACUACACGAAGCUGGAAUCGCUAGUAAUCGCGAAUCAGAAUGUCGCGGUGAAUACGUUCCCGGGUCUUGUACACACCGCCCGUCACACCAUGGGAGUCGGGAAUGCCCGAAGUCAGUGACCCAACCUUUGGAGGGAGCUGCCGAAGGCAGGUCUGAUAACUGGGGUGAAGUCGUAACAAGGUAAC
Molecule: ribosomal RNA, 275 nt
Filed under: uncultured bacterium
Lineage: Bacteria
Description: partial 16S ribosomal RNA
Rfam family: Bacterial small subunit ribosomal RNA
Source: RNAcentral